Non-coding RNA from Aedes albopictus (Asian tiger mosquito), 58 nucleotides. NCBI's taxonomy places the organism in Eukaryota, Metazoa, Arthropoda, Insecta, Diptera, Culicidae. The record is from Rfam.
UAGCCUAGUGGUUAAGGCUAUGGAUCGCCAAUCCGGUGACGGCGGGUUCGAUUCCCGU